Molecule: ribosomal RNA, 444 nt
Filed under: uncultured bacterium
Lineage: Bacteria
Description: bacterial SSU rRNA
Rfam family: Bacterial small subunit ribosomal RNA
Source: RNAcentral
GUAGGGAAUAUUGGACAAUGGGUGCAAGCCUGAUCCAGCCAUGCCGCGUGCAGGAAGAAGGCCUUCUGGGUCGUAAACUGCUUUUGCCGGGGGAUAAAAUAGCUUUGCGAAGCGAAUUGAAGGUACCUGGUGAAUAAGCCACGGCUAACUACGUGCCAGCAGCCGCGGUAAUACGUAGGUGGCAAGCGUUGUCCGGAUUUAUUGGGUUUAAAGGGUGCGUAGGCGGUCAAAUAAGUCAGUGGUGAAAUACGGCAGCUUAACUGUCGAGGUGCCAUUGAUACUGCUUGACUUGAGUACUGAUGAGGUAGGCGGAAUGGACGGUGUAGCGGUGAAAUGCUUAGAGAUCGUCCAGAACACCGAUAGCGAAGGCAGCUUACUAAGGAGUAACUGACGCUGAGGCACGAAAGUGUGGGGAUCAAACAGGAUUAGAUACCCGAGUAGUCC